This 253-nucleotide ribosomal RNA is filed under the name uncultured bacterium. RNAcentral describes it as "partial 16S ribosomal RNA". It matches the Rfam family "Bacterial small subunit ribosomal RNA", at positions 524 to 776 of the family's 1533-position model. The record is from RNAcentral.
UACGUAGGGUGCGAGCGUUAAUCGGAAUUACUGGGCGUAAAGCGUGCGCAGGCGGUUCGUUGUGUCGGUGGUGAAAUCCCCGGGCUUAACCUGGGAAUGGCCAUGGAAACUGGCGAACUGGAGUGCGGCAGAGGGGGGUGGAAUUCCGCGUGUAGCAGUGAAAUGCGUAGAGAUGCGGAGGAACACCGAUGGCGAAGGCAGCCCCCUGGGCUAGCACUGACGCUCAGGCACGAAAGCGUGGGGAGCGAACCGG